Molecule: transfer RNA, 84 nt
Filed under: Actinomycetota bacterium
Lineage: Bacteria; Bacillati; Actinomycetota
Description: tRNA-Leu
Rfam family: tRNA
About the family: Transfer RNA (tRNA) molecules are approximately 80 nucleotides in length. Their secondary structure includes four short double-helical elements and three loops (D, anti-codon, and T loops).
Source: RNAcentral
GGGCGAGUGGCGGAAUUGGCAGACGCGCAGGAUUCAGGUUCCUGUGAUCGCACGAUCGUGGGGGUUCAAGUCCCCCCUCGCCCA